UACGUAGGGGGCAAGCGUUGUCCGGAAUCACUGGGCGUAAAGCGCACGUAGGCGGUUUAGCAAGUCCGGGGUGCAAGCUCCAGGCCUAACCUGGAAAUUGCCUCUGAAACUACUAAGCUUGAGGGUCAGAGGGGAAACUGGAAUUCACGGUGUAGCGGUGAAAUGCGUAGAUAUCGUGGAGAACACCCGGGGCGAAGGCGGGGUUCGGGCUGACAACUGACGCUGAGGUGCGAAAGCUAGGGGAGCGAACGGG
This 253-nucleotide ribosomal RNA is filed under the name uncultured bacterium. Its description in RNAcentral is "partial 16S ribosomal RNA". It matches the Rfam family "Bacterial small subunit ribosomal RNA", at positions 524 to 776 of the family's 1533-position model. The record is from RNAcentral.